CCCGGCCCUUCAGCGGCCGCAGCUGUCGCGUGUGGGGCUGCGUUUGCUGCUGGGGGGAAUCUCCGCAGUCAUUGUGCUCGCUCUGAGAAAGAAAAAUACUGCACAGGAUUACACAAACUCCGCUGCGUCUGCGGAGUGUUUUAAUUGCACGUUUUAGUAUCCUACGGAGCCUUGCUGGAGUCUGUCCCGCUGCAUAAUUCCCUUAAACCACCUGUCAGCGCAGCUCGAUGUCACUUUCCUCAGCUUUUUAUAGAUGCAUAAUACAAACCAAUUGCCAUGUGGCACAACAGCUUACGGUGCAGAAAAUUGGGCUGUCUGAUACAAUUCUGGAAGUCCCAUCUAGUUUUCACAUCUAUUUUUUAAAAGAAAAAUCCUGCUCCCAUGAAAACAGCUCCAAGUCCUAUGGAAACCAUGGCUCAGGAAGAGUAAAGAAGUUUUUGACCCGCUCCUUUCAGGGGUGUGCAGUGCCCCUCCUUCAAGGAUCAGGGACCUCUGCCGAGGAAAGAGCGGCAGAGCCAGGAGCGUGAAGACAAACCCAGGAAGUUUGUCUUCUGGACGAUUGAACUGCACUAAACUGUGUACAAAACUGAAACAGAAGACACGGCAAAUGAAAACAUAGGAUUUCUAAGAGAGCUUUCUAACUAAUUCUCCAUCCUCCAAUUGAUGGAUGCAAGCCAACCCUACAACUGUUACACUUGCCUGGCCCUGUCAAGAGCUCUGUCAUCGUGAUUUGAUCCUCAAACAAAACACUCAUCUCAAGAGAUCUAGAAUUGACCUUUUAAGUCCCUGCUGAGGAUGGGACAAGGCAGCAGUGUGUGGUGGGUGAAUUUAGCCCAGAGCCUGUGGGCAUCACAGAACACGGCAGCAAAAGAGCCCCGAGGGACAGCUGUUCAGGAUUCACAUUGUGCAGGAUUCACAUUGCUGCUCCUCAAAAAUGCACACCUGGAGCUGCACACACCUGUGGGACAGCCCCAAGCCAAGCCAACACUCACAGUGCCCAACAACUGUGAAGGAAACAGAACUUUCUAACAUUUGGAAGCAGCCUGAGCAGAGAGGAUUUGUCCUGAAAAGUCAAUGCACCACUGUUUCUGGGUUGCUCCUGACAAGCACCACGACUGACACCACCAAAGAGGGGGCUGCUGGCAGGACAGCAAAUAUAUUGUUGUUGGUCCUGGGCUGCACAGGAUUACACAAACCAGAGAGAGUCACACUGGCAUGAAACACAACUGGUGACAGAAGGUCCCUGGCACAACCAGUGGAGCUCUGGCCAGCACACAGCCCACACAGAUGAGCCUGGCAUCCAGAGGGAUAUGACAUCCCUGAGGUUACAAGGGGUCUCAGAAAUCAGAGGAAUCCUGCAAUAAAUGGCAGCUGCAGGACAAGAAGAAUGGUACCAUUAAAACCUCAGCAGGAAUGAGCAUGAAGGUGACUCAGAAAUAGUGUCCAGCACUGCCAGGCAACCCUUCUGAGUGUGGUUUGUUUGGGGAAGAGGAGAGAGACCUGUCUGGGGGAUGAGAGGUCAUCACUGCUGUUGUGGCACCAAAAAUCUGCUUGCAAAGGUGUGGUUGUGGACACUGCAGCCUGUCUGUUGGGAAACUCAAUUUGCAGUAAUAAGGAUGAGGAAACAAAGGCACUGCAGAGAAUUAUGCCAUCUGCAGUGAAGUGAUACUUGCUCCAAAAUGAUUCCCUGUGUUUUGUGGGAUAUCCUAGAAUAUUUGAAACACCCAACAUCCCACUGUUCUGCACUGCUAAGAGUCUGUCUCACUUGGAAUUGGGCUGCUCUGUGCAUCUCCAGUCCCCUCAAGGCUGCCUGAAGAGGCAGAUCCCUGCCUUGGAUCUCCCCAGCCAGUGCCAAUAAAACCUACUUCAACACUCUGACAUUUUUACCCAGACACCUCAAAAAAAGAUUACUUCAAGCAGCGGGAAGUUAGGAGCAUUACAGGAUCUGCUGCAGACAGAUCCCAGCUUGCUUUGCCUGUGUUCCAGCCCCCUGGAAACCAGGUAACAGGACUCCUGCAGGAAUCACCCAAAAUUAUUUGCUUCACUUCAGGUGUCUAUCUGCAAAAAUCAGGAAUUUCCUAGAAUGUGGAAGGGAAAAAAGAAAAUAUUAAUAUUUUUCUAGUUUUUAUAAGUUUAAGCAUGUUUCAAAUAACUGAUAUUUCUCGUUAAUAGUACAUUCAUUUUUUGCACAAUGGAACUGUUUAACUUUGGUUGAACAAAUCUGCAAGGACUUUUCUGUUGCUAUUUUUUCUUUAAAAUUCUGUCCUGUUGUGAGUGAGGGCUGUGUUCCAGAAUUCAUGGGUAUAACCAAUGACCUUUUGGGCAGGAUAAAUGUAGGAAAGACAGGUUUCUCUGUGGAAUAGUUUUAGGAUCAUGGCCAGAAUGAACUUCUCUGGCUCAGUGCAAACUGAGAGGGACUAGAUGCUGAGUAAAGCAACUGUCUUUGUUUUGUUCCUCCUGUGCCCAAGGAAAUAGACCUUUGCGUGUUCUUUGGAAAAGAAAAGGGAUACAUCAAAGUAAUUCCCCACUUCAUUCUCCAUUUCUCCUAAUGGGAAACAACUGUCAGGAUUCCAAUAACAGACCACUUACUCAGAUCUAACCCAAAAGCUAUAUUCUUGAUGUUUAAUUCCACAGGAAGAGGUGUUCUGGGGAUGUAAGGUGGAUGGGGUAGAGAUGAGAAAGAGGCUUAAGUUUGCAAAGAAUGAGAUUUGAGAGAUUCAGGGAAAUGGCUUUGUUUAAAAUGCUCUGUGUCCUUACUCUGGAAAGCCUUUACAUACCUGUUUAAUGUUAACCAGAUGUGCAGGUCUCACAGGAGAGUGCUUCUGCUGUUGUCUUGCCCUCUGUUUCUGUCCCCAGUCUGCCCUGGACUCAAGCAGAGGCAGGAAGGCACCAAGUGUCAUUCCAUGCUGGAGCAGCACAAAGGAGUUCUCAUGGACCAAACUGUGCUUAGUGCAGAUAACAACUCCAGCAAACUCCAGCUAUGAGUUUUAGGAAAUCUAGACUGUGUAUAGAAGAGAUAGAAGUUCUCAGAAGAUGAAAAGUUGGCCAAAUUUGGGAUAAUUCUUAGUAGGACAACAAAAAGCUGUGUCUGUCACAGCAAGGUAUCAUCCAUGCCCUGUUCCCAGACUUGCUGAAAAAGCUGUGAGGAUCCUGUCCAUGAAGGCAAACUGUUCUUUUCUUCCACAGCCACAUUUUUGGCCACAACUGAAAGAAUUUAGUUGAAAUUACUAAAGAAAUCUCUGGAAUGCGAAUUGGGCCGAAUGGCAUUGAACCUGAGUGGCCUCAACUUGGCAACAUUGUAAGAAGUUGAAAAAUAAAGAUUUAUAAUGGGAUGUGGCACUGCCAGAGAAUGUUCAUUAUGUGUUUGUGCAUGUACAGACCCCCACACAUCUGUAUUAUAUACAGAUGUACUACAGUGCUACUGCAUCACUGAAGAGUUCUUAACCAGAAAUAUCCCCAACUAAUUAUGUAUACUGACAGUAAGAUUGUAAGAAGACAAGAGUUGGACAUUUCAAGGAUGUUAAAAUUGUAGCAAAAAAUGUUCAGAGAGGCUGUGAAGAUAAAUGGGUAGUUGCUAUUUACAAAUAUGAUGAUUACAUACUGUUACCAUGGAAACUUGAAAUGGAAAAUAAAAAGUGACUUUAGCUUCAUCUUAAAACUGCCCUCACUGGGAGGAGAACAAUAGCUGACAUUCCUCCAGCAGGAGACUAAUGGCCCCUCCUGAAGAAUGUACAGUAUGCUUUUCUGUAUUUUUAGCUGUGCAAAAACACAGAAACAGGUUUUAAACCUGCUACCAACUGAAGAUAAGGCUCGGAUAAGAACACAUCUGUUGUUAGAAUCAUAGGACAGUAGGAUUUAUUCCUUUUCCUACAUUAUUUACUCAAACACUCACUGUUCAACAUUUUCUCUUCUGAAACUACUUCAAGUGAUUUUGAGUCCCAUCUAAGUUCAUGGCUUGGUAAUUCUCCCCAAGUACAUUUUUUCAUUAUCUGUGUUUCUGCUUUGGACAAGAUAAUGAGUGAAGGAUGUGACUCAUUUCCAUCAAAAUGAGCUUCCUGAGAAUGGUAAAAGAUGCAGGGAGAUGACAACUGGCCCUGGACAUUUUUAGGACAAUUCUAAGUGUGAAUCAACUGCUGGUUAAUAAAAUAAUAUAUAUAAUAAUAAUUGAACAGGUUAUUCCUAAAUACAAUUUGUACCCAGUGAGAUUGCAGCAAGCACCAAGGCUGGAAGUCAGAAGACUGCAGAGAUGGUACCAUCUGUCUGUCUCUUGGGAAUCAUUCUGGUGCUGAAAAAGCCCUUCUGAGCCAGAUGCUCAGAGCCAGGGAAGUGUUUGCUGACAGCCACUCCUGCUCCACCUGUUAGUGCUGUGCUGGAUCUGAGUACAGCCAAGUAUCUGCACACCAGUGGAGCUGGGAUAUUCAAUGUGCCACACACAGAAAUCAGUGAGUGCAAGGUCCCGUUACCAAAGGAUGGAAGUUCCAUUAAAGAUGAGAUUCAAAGAAGGGCAGCAGACCAGGAGCUGUGGGCAUGUGGAUGGACACUGAAACUGUAGAAGUCUUUCAAGUUCUUUGAUAUUACCUUUUCUUCUUUAUACACUGUUCCUUUUGUUAGCUACACCAGCUUACAGGCCAGUAGUUCAUUUUAUAUGGACACACAGAAUGUAAUUUACAUCAGUUGCAAUUCUUGCCUAUUUAAGUGUUGUUCUUGCUACAUGGAAACAUUUGCAGAGCUGUUAAACUUGUAUUUUUCUUCUUUUGGGGGAGGAACUCCUUUCCAAAAUCUGUGCUAUUUGACAACUGAACUCCUCUGGCUUUUUCACUUUUCACAGUGUUUUUAAAAUUCUUCCAAAUUAUUAAAAUUAACAACAGUGAGACAUUGCAGUAAGACACUUUCAGAUGGUAAUGAUUCUACACUUCUGAACUGAUGGAUACCUGUCUCACUCCAGUACACAUUUGAAGCACUUUAACACAUAAAUAUCCACCAAGAUUAAUAACCUCAGCUUGCAAGUUUCUACUCCAAAUGCUUAUAAUGGGAGAGACAAAAGACUUGAGUAGUUACUGUAGAAAAGCAAAUGAUAAUUAUCUGCCAGACAUUUCCAUGAUAUUUUAAAGAGAAAGUGAACAUUCAGUGUUCUUUGCACCUCCUCUGUGCAGUGAUUUCCAUUUGCUGAUCAGUAUAUUCCACUUGGAAAGUUCAGGCAAUCCACCUAAGUGCUGACACUUACAUGACAGUAAUAAGGCUCCACAGAGAACUGUUUUCUUCCAAAAAUACUGCCAGAACUUUAUUAGAAUUGGGAAACAUGAUAGUCAGUAAAGUGACUAAACAGCUCUUCCUCAUGUUCCAUCUCUGUCAACCUUGUACCUAGAACUUUUUUUGGUCCCCAAUGCUGGCAGGCCUGGUAGCAUGCAGGGGAAAUCUCUGUUCUUGUAACAUUCUUGUAACCAUUCCCAACAGCAGGGAUCAGGUAAUGGCUGGGCAUUGGCCCCAGGGCAGGGAUGUAAGCAAGCACAGGGAAACUGAACUUAUCUUAGUCUGCUUUAUACUCAAUAUAGAAUAUAUUUCCCUUUUCAGUUCAAAGUCCCAAAGGCCACCAAAUUAGUGGCCUCCCUCUCAUUUAUAAUUACCAACCUAAAUGCCCCCUUUAUCAGGUGAACGUAUUCCCACACCACAUUCGGCAUUGCUUCUUUCUUACUGCUGAGCAAUAUCCAGGGAAGUACUAGAUACUGAAACUCCAUUCAGUAGGGAUAUUUUUUAUUAUUUGUUCAGGCCCAGAAAACGUUGUUAUGAUGAAGUUAGGCUACCUUUAAUGAAAUAGCUCAUGUUUCACAGUGCUCUACCACAGGAAAACACAGUUCUCAGCUGAUGUCUUUGUUUACCAUGUGCUAUUUUGCAUAGUGGCUGUUCAGUGAAUAAGCAAAGAGGGACACUUCACUGAGACUGAUCCAUAAGACAUUAAUUAUACAAAAAUACUGUGUUGCAUGUCUUGAUAUAAGCAAAGUUUAAAACUGCAUUCUCUGAUACUUGAUGUUAAACUACCACAUAGACUAUUUCCAGUCUUCAUGGUGCCUUGGAUUUUACACUUCAACUUCUGAAUUUGCUAACAGAUAUGUUAAACAUCUCCAGCAGAAACUCUCCCUACAGCUAUGGAGCUAAGUAAUGUCUAGAGUACAAUUCAUUGUACCAAGUAAAAUAUGUCACAUUUCAAGAUAACAACAGAACAUUCCUGCUUUUCCAGAGGCUUCACGCGAAUAACUAAUGUGUAAAAUCUGCAAAUGCAACAAGAAAGCUUCUGUCUCAACAAAGGUUUUUUAUGUCUUUUCAAGCCUCUGGAGUACAUAAUGCUGUUACCAACCUUUUUAUUUUCUCUUUUUCUCUUUUCUCUUUUCUCUUUUCUCUU
Non-coding RNA from Cyanistes caeruleus (blue tit), 6397 nucleotides. The record is from RefSeq and is a predicted model, not a curated record. Lineage: Eukaryota; Metazoa; Chordata; Aves; Passeriformes; Paridae.